Molecule: ribosomal RNA, 260 nt
Filed under: uncultured bacterium
Lineage: Bacteria
Description: partial 16S ribosomal RNA
Rfam family: Bacterial small subunit ribosomal RNA
Source: RNAcentral
UGGCGGACGGGUGAGUAACGCGUGGGCAACCUGCCCCAUACACGGGGGAUAACAGCCGGAAACGGCUGCUAAUACCGCAUAAGCGCACGGGACCGCAUGGUUCUGUGUGAAAAACAAUAGUGGUAUGGGAGGGGCCCGCGUCUGAUUAGCCAGUUGGCCGGGGUAGAGGCCCACCAAAGCGACGAUCAGUAGCCGGCCUGAGAGGGCGGACGGCCACAUUGGGACUGAGACACGGCCCAAACUCCUACGGAAGGCAGCAG